CCUGGUGGCUCAGACGGUAAAGUGUCUGCCUGAAAUGCAGGAGACCCAGGUUUGAUCCCUGGGUCAGGA
RNAcentral lists this transfer RNA (69 nucleotides) under Bos taurus (domestic cattle). It matches the Rfam family "tRNA". From Rfam's summary of the family: Transfer RNA (tRNA) molecules are approximately 80 nucleotides in length. Lineage: Eukaryota; Metazoa; Chordata; Mammalia; Artiodactyla; Bovidae. The record is from Rfam by way of RNAcentral. RNAcentral also lists the same sequence under 2 other names.